Molecule: transfer RNA, 74 nt
Filed under: Blastopirellula sediminis
Lineage: Bacteria; Pseudomonadati; Planctomycetota; Planctomycetia; Pirellulales; Pirellulaceae
Description: tRNA-Arg
Rfam family: tRNA
About the family: Transfer RNA (tRNA) molecules are approximately 80 nucleotides in length.
Source: RNAcentral
GCGGAUGUAGCUCAGCUGGAUAGAGCGUCGGUCUACGAAACCGAAGGUCGCAGGUUCGAAUCCUGCCAUCCGCA